Molecule: ribosomal RNA, 497 nt
Filed under: uncultured bacterium
Lineage: Bacteria
Description: partial 16S ribosomal RNA
Rfam family: Bacterial small subunit ribosomal RNA
Source: RNAcentral
GAUGAACGCUGGCGGCGUGCCUAAUACAUGCAAGUCGAGCGAACGGACGAGAAGCUUGCUUCUCUGAUGUUAGCGGCGGACGAGUGAGUAACACGUGGAUAACCUACCUAUAAGACUGGGAUAACUUCGGGAAACCGGAGCUAAUACCGGAUAAUAUUUUGAACCGCAUGGUUCAAAAGUGAAAGACGGUCUUGCUGUCACUUAUAGAUGGAUCCGCGCUGCAUUAGCUAGUUGGUAAGGUAACGGCUUACCAAGGCAACGAUGCAUAGCCGACCUGAGAGGGUGAUCGGCCACACUGGAACUGAGACACGGUCCAGACUCCUACGGGAGGCAGCAGUAGGGAAUCUUCAGCAAUGGGCGAAAGCCUGACGGAGCAACGCCGCGUGAGUGAUGAAGGUCUUCGGAUCGUAAAACUCUGUUAUUAGGGAAGAACAUAUGUGUAAGUAACUGUGCACAUCUUGACGGUACCUAAUCAGAAAGCCACGGCUAACUACGUG